This 831-nucleotide ribosomal RNA is filed under the name Psychrobacter celer. RNAcentral's name for it is "bacterial SSU rRNA". It matches the Rfam family "Bacterial small subunit ribosomal RNA", at positions 456 to 1284 of the family's 1533-position model. Lineage: Bacteria; Pseudomonadati; Pseudomonadota; Gammaproteobacteria; Moraxellales; Moraxellaceae. The record is from RNAcentral.
AAUACCCGUUAGCGAUGACAUUAGCUGCAGAAUAAGCACCGGCUAACUCUGUGCCAGCAGCCGCGGUAAUACAGAGGGUGCAAGCGUUAAUCGGAAUUACUGGGCGUAAAGCGAGCGUAGGUGGCUUGAUAAGUCAGAUGUGAAAUCCCCGGGCUUAACCUGGGAACUGCAUCUGAUACUGUUAAGCUAGAGUAGGUGAGAGGGAAGUAGAAUUCCAGGUGUAGCGGUGAAAUGCGUAGAGAUCUGGAGGAAUACCGAUGGCGAAGGCAGCUUCCUGGCAUCAUACUGACACUGAGGCUCGAAAGCGUGGGUAGCAAACAGGAUUAGAUACCCUGGUAGUCCACGCCGUAAACGAUGUCUACUAGUCGUUGGGUCCCUUGAGGACUUAGUGACGCAGCUAACGCAAUAAGUAGACCGCCUGGGGAGUACGGCCGCAAGGUUAAAACUCAAAUGAAUUGACGGGGGCCCGCACAAGCGGUGGAGCAUGUGGUUUAAUUCGAUGCAACGCGAAGAACCUUACCUGGUCUUGACAUACACAGAAUCUUGUAGAGAUACGAGAGUGCCUUCGGGAAUUGUGAUACAGGUGCUGCAUGGCUGUCGUCAGCUCGUGUCGUGAGAUGUUGGGUUAAGUCCCGCAACGAGCGCAACCCUUGUCCUUAGUUACCAGCGGGUUAAGCCGGGAACUCUAAGGAUACUGCCAGUGACAAACUGGAGGAAGGCGGGGACGACGUCAAGUCAUCAUGGCCCUUACGACCAGGGCUACACACGUGCUACAAUGGGUAGGUACAGAGGGCAGCUACACAGCGAUGUGAUGCGAAUCUCAAAAAGCCU